RNAcentral lists this ribosomal RNA (465 nucleotides) under uncultured Klebsiella sp. RNAcentral describes it as "bacterial SSU rRNA". It matches the Rfam family "Bacterial small subunit ribosomal RNA", at positions 338 to 795 of the family's 1533-position model. The record is from RNAcentral. Lineage: Bacteria; Pseudomonadati; Pseudomonadota; Gammaproteobacteria; Enterobacterales; Enterobacteriaceae.
CCUACGGGUGGCUGCAGUGGGGAAUAUUGCACAAUGGGCGCAAGCCUGAUGCAGCCAUGCCGCGUGUGUGAAGAAGGCCUUCGGGUUGUAAAGCACUUUCAGCGGGGAGGAAGGCGGUGAGGUUAAUAACCUCAUCGAUUGACGUUACCCGCAGAAGAAGCACCGGCUAACUCCGUGCCAGCAGCCGCGGUAAUACGGAGGGUGCAAGCGUUAAUCGGAAUUACUGGGCGUAAAGCGCACGCAGGCGGUCUGUCAAGUCGGAUGUGAAAUCCCCGGGUUCAACCUGGGAACUGCAUUCGAAACUGGCAGGCUAGAGUCUUGUAGAGGGGGGUAGAAUUCCAGGUGUAGCGGUGAAAUGCGUAGAGAUCUGGAGGAAUACCGGUGGCGAAGGCGGCCCCCUGGACAAAGACUGACGCUCAGGUGCGAAAGCGUGGGGAGCAAACAGGAUUAGAUACCCGGGUAGUC